This 429-nucleotide ribosomal RNA is filed under the name bacterium. RNAcentral describes it as "partial 16S ribosomal RNA". It matches the Rfam family "Bacterial small subunit ribosomal RNA", at positions 355 to 776 of the family's 1533-position model. The record is from RNAcentral.
UGGGGAAUCUUCCGCAAUGGACGAAAGUCUGACGGAGCAACGCCGCGUGAGUGAUGACGGCCUUCGGGUUGUAAAGCUCUGUUAAUCGGGACGAAUGGUUCUUGUGCGAAUAGUGCAAGGAUUUGACGGUACCGGAAUAGAAAGCCACGUCUAACUACGUGCCAGCAGCCGCGGUAAUACGUAGGUGGCAAGCGUUGUCCGGAAUUAUUGGGCGUAAAGCGCGCGCAGGCGGAUUGGUCAGUCUGUCUUAAAAGUUCGGGGCUUAACCCCGUGAUGGGAUGGAAACUGCCAAUCUAGAGUAUCGGAGAGGACAGUGGAAUUCCUAGUGUAGCGGUGAAAUGCGUAGAUAUUAGGAAGAACACCAGUGGCGAAGGCGACUUUCUGGACGAAAACUGACGCUGAGGCGCGAAAGCCAGGGGAGCGAACGGG